This 249-nucleotide ribosomal RNA is filed under the name uncultured bacterium. RNAcentral's name for it is "partial 16S ribosomal RNA". It matches the Rfam family "Bacterial small subunit ribosomal RNA", at positions 107 to 354 of the family's 1533-position model. The record is from RNAcentral.
UGAGUAACGCGUAAGGAACCUGCCUUUUAGAGGGGGAAUAACAAUGAGAAAUCAUUGCUAAUACCGUAUAUGCCAUAAUUAUCACAUGAUAAUAGUGGGAAAGGAGCAAUUCGCUAAAGAUGGCCUUGCGUCUGAUUAGAUAGUUGGUAAGAUAACGGCUUACCAAGUCGACGAUCAGUAGCCGGACUGAGAGGUUGAACGGCCACAUUGGGACUGAGAUACGGCCCAGACUCCUACGGGAGGCAGCAG